RNAcentral lists this ribosomal RNA (630 nucleotides) under uncultured bacterium. RNAcentral describes it as "bacterial SSU rRNA". It matches the Rfam family "Bacterial small subunit ribosomal RNA", at positions 338 to 1416 of the family's 1533-position model. The record is from RNAcentral.
CCUACGGGAGGCAGCAGUGGGGAAUAUUGGACAAUGGGCGAAAGCCUGAUCCAGCAAUUCCGCGUGUGUGAAGAAGGCCUUCGGGUUGUAAAGCACUUUAGUGGGGGAAGAAACAGCUUGGCCACACCAAGCCUUGACGGUACCCCAAGAAUAAGCACCGGCUAACUCUGUGCCAGCAGCCGCGGUAAUACAGAGGGUGCAAGCGUUAAUCGGAUUUACUGGGCGUAAAGGGUGCGUAGGUGGCUAUUUAAGUCGGAUGUGAAAGCCCGGGGCUCAACCUCGGAAUUGCAUUCGAUACUGAGUGGCUAGAGUUCGGUAGAGGGCGGCGGAAUUUCCGGUGUAGCGGUGAAAUGCGUAGAUAUCGGAAGGAACAUCAAUGGCGAAGGCAGCCGCCUGGGCCUGGACUGACACUGAGGCACGAAAGCGUGGGUAGCAAACAGGAUUAGAUACCCUGGUAGUCCACGCCGUAAACGAUGAGAACUUGACGUUGGUUCGUUUUACGAAUCGGUGUCGCAGCUAACGCGAUAAGUUCUCCGCCUGGGGAGUACGGCCGCAAGGUUGAAAACUCAAAAGUAGAAGUUACGGACGCGUAGAGUACGUCGACCGAACGGCACCGACGGAGGGUAGAGG